This 3427-nucleotide ribosomal RNA is filed under the name Olea europaea subsp. europaea. RNAcentral describes it as "LSU_rRNA_bacteria". The stretch from base 343 to 3374 matches the Rfam family "Eukaryotic large subunit ribosomal RNA". The record is from RNAcentral. Lineage: Eukaryota; Viridiplantae; Streptophyta; Magnoliopsida; Lamiales; Oleaceae.
CGAAAUCGAAAUGACUCUCGGUAACGGAUAUCUCGGCUCUCGUAUCAAUGAGGAAGGUAACAAAAUGUGAUACUUGGUGUGAAUUGUGGAAUCUCAUGAACCAUCGAGUUUUUGAACGCAAGUUGUGCCCGAGGCCAUUGUCACCAAUGCGGGAUGGCAGGCAUUGGGCUAGAAACUAGCCUCCCAUGUGCGUCCAUGCACGGCCAACCCAAAUGCGAUUCGACGUCGACGUGAGUCAUGGUAAUUGGUGAUUGAAGACCUCAACUCACGCGUUGUCACACAAAAUUGUGUCAUUCAGUCAGAGUGCCUCGGAGACCAAAAGUGCUCCUCACACCUCGACGGCGACCCCAGAUCAGGCGAGAUCACCCACUGAGUUUAAGUAUAUCAAUAAGCGAAGGAAAAGAAACUUACAAAGAUUCUCCUAGUAACGGCAAGCAAAUCGGGAAGAGCCCAACUUAAAAAUUGGACGAUCUUAUCAUUCGAAUUGUAGUCUGGAAAAGCUUCUUCAGUGGUGGACCAAGCUCAAGUCUCCUAGAAACGGGUGCUAGAGAGGGUGAGAGCCCCGUCGUGCUUGACCCUAUCUCACCACUAGGCGCUGUCGACGAGUUGGGUUGUUUGGGAAUGCAGCCCCAAUCGGGCAAUAAAUUCCAUCCAAGGCUAAAUACGGGCGAGAGACCAAUAGAUAACAAGUACUGCAAGGGAAAGAUAAAAAGAACUUUGAAAAAAGAGUCAAAGAUUGCUUGAAAUUAUCGGGAGAGAAGCGGAUGGGGGUCGGCGAUGCGUCCCGAUCGGAUGUGGAACGGUGACGAGCCGAUCCAUCGAUCGACUUAGGGCGUGGACCAGCACAAAUCAAGGUGACUGCCAAAGCCCAACAGUCAACACGCUUGCGAAAUGCUGUCGCCUUGAUUGUAGCGGACAGCGCAUGCCCUCGGCGUACCUCGACACAUGUGCACUCCCGAUACUGGCUUGCGAGCUCCCCAUUCGACCCGUCUUGAAGUACGAACCAAGGAGUCUGAUAUGUGUGCAAGUAAACUCGUGAGGUGCAAGGAAGUUGAUUGGCGUGAUCCUCCCAAGGUGUGCAAGAUCGAUCGACCUCGAUCUUCUGAGAAGAGUUUGAGUGCGAGCAUACCUGUCGAGACCCGAAAGAUGGUGAACUAUACCUGAGCAGGGCGAAGCCAAAGGAAACUCUAGUGGAGCCACGCAGUGAUAGUGACGUGCAAAUCGUUCGUCUAACUUGGGUAUAGGGCCGAAAGACUAAUCGAACCAUCUAGUAGCUGGUUCCCUCUGAAGUUAUUCUCAAACUUUAAAAAGGUAAGACGACGUGGCUGCUUCAUUGAGCCACGCCACGGAAUUGAGAGCUCCAAGUGGGCCAUUUUUGCUAAUAAGAACUGGUGAUGGAAGAUGAACCAAAAGCCGAGUUACGGUGCCCAACUGCGUGCUAACCUAGAUCCCACAAAGGGUAUUGGUCGAUUAAGACAGUAGGACGGUGGUCAUGGAAGUCAAAAUCUACUAAGGAGUGUGUAACAACUCAACUGUCGAAUCAACUAGCCCCGAAAAUGGAUGGCGUUGAAGCACGGCACCUAUACCCGGUCGUCGGGGUAAGCGCCAGGCCCCGAUGAGUAGGAGGGCGUGAUAGUCACCACAAAACCUUGGGCGUGAGCUCGAGCAGAGUGACCAUCGGUGCAGAUCUUGGUGGUAGUGGUAAAUAUUCAAAUGGGAACUUUGAAGGCCGACGAGGGGAAAGUUUUCAUGUGAACAGCACUUGGACAUGAGUUAAUCUAUCCUAAGGGUCGGGGAAAGCCUGACAGAUAGCACAUUUCGCGCGUGCACCGAAGGGGAAUCGGGUUAAAAUUUUGAAAUCUGGACGCGGCGGUUGACGACAACGUUAGGGAGUCCGGAGACAUUGUCGGCGGCCUCGAGAAGAGUUAUCUUUUCUGUUUAAUAGCCUGCCCACCCUGGAAAUGGCUUAGCUUGAGGCAGGGUCCAGUGGCUGGAAGAGCACCGUACGUCUCGUGGUGUUCGGUGCGCCCUCGGUGGCCCUUGAAAAUUUGGAGGACCGAGAACCGUUCACGCUCGGUCGUACUCGUAACUGCAUCAGGUCUCCAACCUGAACAAGCUCUGGUCAAUGGAAUAAUAUAGGCAAGGAAAUUUGGUAAAAUGGAUCCAUAACUUCGAGAAAAGGAUUGGCUCUAAGGGUUGGGCAUGGAGGUCCCAGUCCCGAACCCGUCGGCUAUCGGUGGACCACUUGAGCUCCUCCCAGGAUGAGAGGGGGUCGUCGUGUGCUAGCCGGGGGAUAGACUGGGAAUGGCUCCUUCAGGGGGCUUCCCCGGGCAUCGAACAGUCGACUCAGAACUGGUACGAACAAGGGAAAUCCGACUGUUUAAUUAAAACAAAGCAUUACGAUGGUCCCUGUGGAUGCUCACACAAUGUGAUUUCUGCCCAGUGCUCUAAAUGUCAAAGUGAAGAAAUUCAGCCAAGCGUGGGUAAACGGCGGGAGUAACUACGACUCUCUUAAGGUAGCCAAAUGCCUCGUCAUCUAAUUAGUGACGUGCAUGAAUGGAUUAACAAGAUUCCCACUAUCCCUGUCUACUAUCCAGGGAAACCAGGGCCAAGGGAACGGGCUUAGUAGAAUCAAUGGGGAAAGAAGACCCUAUUGAGCUUGACUCUAGUCCAACUUUGUGAAAUGACUUGAGAGGUGUAGGAUAAGUAGGACCCGAAAGGCGAAAGUGAAAUACCACUACUUUUAACGUUAUUUUACAUAUUCCGUGAAUCGGAGGUGGGACACUGUGGGUCGAUCUAGGCAGAAGACAUUGUUAGGUGGGGAGUUUGGCUGGGGCAGCACAUCUGUUAAAAGAUAAUGUAGGUGUCCUAAGAUGAGCUUAACGAGAACAGAAAUCUCAUGUGGAACAGAAGGGUAAAAGCUCGCUUGAUUCUGAUUUCCAGUAUGAAUAUGAAUCAUGAAAGCAUGGCCUUACAAUCCCUUUAGACCUUCAAAAUUUGAAGCCAGAGGUGUCUGAAAAGUUACCACAGGGAUAACUGGCUUGUGGCAGCCAAGCAUUCCUAGCGACAUUGCUUUUCGAUCCUUCGAUGUCAGCUCUUCCUAUCAUUGUGAAGUAGAAUUCACCAAGUGUUGGAUUGUUCACCCACCAAUGGGGAACGUGAGCUGGGUUUAGAUCGUCGUGAAACAGGUUAGUUUUACCCUACUGAUGACAGUGUCGUAAUAGUAAUUCAACGUAGUACAAGAGGAACCAUUGAUUCGCACAAUUGGUCAUCGCGCUUGGUUGAAAAGCCAGGGUGUGAAGCUACCGUGCACUGGAUUAUGACUGAAUGCCUCUAAGUCAGAAUUCGGGCUAGAAGCAUCGUGCACCCACCGUCUGCUUGCCGACCCAUAGUAGGGGCCUUACGGCCCCCAGGGGCACAUGUCGUU